CCAAAAUCCUUCGUCUCCUUCUUCAAUAUACAGCUCCCCUCUUCUUCAAUUAAUGCUAUGAAAUUUCAAAGAAUAUCUCGGUAUCAAUGAUGCAUGUAUUUCUGUAUCUUAUAUAGGGCAGAGGUUCUCUAUCUAUUCCAAUUGUACUUUUCUUCACAAUUUUAAAGGUCCUGCUCUGCAAAAUGAAAGGUUUGAUUACUCCAAUUCCUUCGUUUUUGUGAAUAACCAAAUGAAAACACCCAAAAAAAGAAAAAAACUAAA
Quercus robur (English oak) is the source of this 261-nucleotide long non-coding RNA. RefSeq lists it as uncharacterized. Lineage: Eukaryota; Viridiplantae; Streptophyta; Magnoliopsida; Fagales; Fagaceae. The record is from RefSeq and is a predicted model, not a curated record. The transcript is spliced from 2 exons.